UUGGUAGCGCAGCUAACGCGUGAAGUUGACCGCCUGGGGAGUACGGUCGCAAGAUUAAAACUCAAAGGAAUUGACGGGGACCCGCACAAGCGGUGGAUGAUGUGGAUUAAUUCGAUGCAACGCGAAAAACCUUACCUACCCUUGACAUGUCUGGAAUGCCGAAGAGAUUUGGCAGUGCUCGCAAGAGAACCGGAACACAGGUGCUGCAUGGCUGUCGUCAGCUCGUGUCGUGAGAUGUUGGGUUAAGUCCCGCAACGAGCGCAACCCUUGUCAUUAGUUGCUACGAAAGGGCACUCUAAUGAGACUGCCGGUGACAAACCGGAGGAAGGUGGGGAUGACGUCAAGUCCUCAUGGCCCUUAUGGGUAGGGCUUCACACGUCAUACAAUGGUCGGGACAGAGGGUCGCCAACCCGCGAGGGGGAGCCAAUCCCAGAAACCCGAUCGUAGUCCGGAUCGCAGUCUGCAACUCGACUGCGUGAAGUCGGAAUCGCUAGUAAUCGCGGAUCAGCAUGUCGCGGUGAA
RNAcentral lists this ribosomal RNA (522 nucleotides) under uncultured bacterium. Its description in RNAcentral is "bacterial SSU rRNA". It matches the Rfam family "Bacterial small subunit ribosomal RNA", at positions 840 to 1366 of the family's 1533-position model. The record is from RNAcentral.